CCGCCCUGGGCGCGCGGGGUGGGCUCGGGGGCGCGCACGCUCUGCGUGCCGGGCGCUCGGGACUGUACCUGGCGCGGCCCAAAGGCCCGCAGUUAGGCCUGCCAUGUUCCUCUCCGCGGCGCUUCGGGCCCGUGCGGCCGGCUUCGCCGCCCAGUGGGGAAGACAUGUAAGGAAUUUGCAUAAGACAGCUGUGCAGAAUGGAGCUGGAGGAGCCUUAUUUGUGCACAGAGAUACUCCUGAGAAUAACCCAGAUACUCCAUUUGAUUUCACACCGGAAAACUAUAAGAGGAUAGAGGCAAUUGUAAAAAACUACCCAGAAGGGCAUAAAGCAGCAGCUGUGCUUCCAGUCCUGGAUUUAGCCCAAAGACAGAAUGGAUGGCUGCCCAUCUCUGCUAUGAACAAGGUUGCAGAAGUUUUACAGGUACCUCCAAUGAGGGUAUAUGAAGUAGCAACUUUUUAUACAAUGUAUAAUCGAAAGCCAGUUGGAAAGUAUCAUGUUCAAGUCUGCACUACUACGCCUUGCAUGCUUCGUAACUCCGACAGCAUACUGGAGGCCAUUCAGAAAAAGCUUGGAAUAAAGGUUGGAGAGACUACACCUGACAAACUUUUCACUCUUAUAGAAGUGGAAUGUUUAGGGGCCUGUGUAAACGCACCAAUGGUUCAAAUAAAUGACAACUACUAUGGCUUCCCUGGUGGAGCAGUGGUUAAGAAUCUGCCUGCCAGUGCAGGGGACACAGGUUCAAGCCCUGGUCUGGGAAGAUCCCACGUGUCGUGGAGCAACUAAGCCUGUGCACCACAACUGCUGAGGCUGCGAGCCACAACUACUGAAGCCCGUGUGCCUAGAGCCCGUGCUUCACAACAAGAGAGGCCACUGCAGUGAGAAGCCCGCGCAUCGCAACGAAGAGUAGACCCUGCUCACCACAACUAGAGAAAGCCUGCACACAGCAAGAAAGACCCAACGUGGCCAAAAGGAUCGAACCUGUGUCCCCCACAUUGGAGGUGUAUUCUUAACCACUGGACCACCAGGGAAGUCCCAUUACAAGUUUUGGUAAGUAAUAUUUUUAUCAUUUAGUUCUAAAUAUUUUUAAAUUUGCAUUUUGAUUUCUUCUUUGACCUGUGUUUUUGAGAAGUGUUCUUAAUAUCCAAGUGUAUGGAGUUUUCUAGUUAUCUUUUUUUAAUUGCUUGCUACCCUAAUUAUAUCAUGGCUGUCAUUCAUAAUAUCUUGUUAGUUCAUAAUUCUUAGAAGUUUGUUUAUGGAAAUUCUUUUAAGACCUGUGUCGAAGGUAGAUACUUCAAGAAGGGAUUGACUUUGCUUCUCUCUUGCUCCUGGAAAUACUACUGGCCCAAAAGAAAUCCCCUCUUCUUAAAUCCUCCCUUCUUCUUCCCCUAAAGUGUAAGUUCCAGAGUAGCAGGGUUGUUUUGGGGGACAGUUUUAAUUUCUAGUUUUCCCUUAUAUUGAGGGUAGAGUUUUUGGGGGGGUCUCAGCUUUAUGUGGUUUGGAUGACCUCCUGUGUCCUGGAGAUUUGUCCCUUGCCCCUCUAGGCUAUGAAACUCUGAAGCCACGGUUUUUUGCUGUUCCACUGUCUCCCUAAGUUUUCAUUGAGUUUUUGGCCUCUGGGUAUUUUUUUCUUGUCAGUGCCUUGAUAUUGAUAAAAUUUUAAAGUUUUUAAAAAAAUUUUAUCCAGCAUUGUUAGUUGUUACAAUAGGACAUUCAGUCAGGAUAGCUGGACUGCCAUAAUGCCUGUAAUGGAAAUCUACAAUUUUUUUUUUUUAAUGAAGAUGAAAUUGGACUUCUUUGGCAUUUUACAUUUCUAGGAUGUUUUUAUUACCUAUAGGGGUUUUCUUCAUUUUAAUGAUGGUGAUUCAAAUUUCUUACCUUCUCUUUCUCAUACUUAAAAAAAAAAUUCCUUUAAAAAUAUGGCAAUAACUUACCCUUUUCCCACACUUCUGCAAUUUACUCAUAAUCGUGAGGAUCUUAAUUUAAUCAGGAAGUAGACAGUCAAGGCUUUAUAUGAAGCACUGUAAGUCUAAAUAUAGUAGACUGUGGAUUUAUGCAAGAGAUUCAGUGAGUAGUGGUAUGGUCUUUGGUGAGGCAGUUAACUGUUUUAUUAUUAUUUAUUUAUUUUUGGCUGCCUUGGGUCUUCGUUGCUGCACGCGGGCUUUCCUUAGUUGCAUCGAGUGGGGACUACUCUUCGUUGCGGUGUGUGGGCUUCUCACUGCGGUAGCUUCUCUUGUGGAGCACGGGCUCUAGGCGUGUGGGCUUCGGUAGUUGUGGCACAUGGGCUCUAGAGCACGGGCUCAGUAGUCGUGGCCCACGGGGUUAGUUGCUCUGUGGCAUGUGGCAUGUUCCCGGACCAGGGCUCGAACCGGUGUUCCCUGCCAAUCUUGGCAGGCGGAUUCUUAACCACUGCGCCACCUGGGAAGCCUGAGGCAGUUAACUUUUAUGGAUCUCAGCUGACCAGUGGAUAAAAUGAAAUAGUCACAUAAACUGUGAUUGGAUACCGAUUAGAGAGAAAUAUUAAAUACAUUUUGAGGAUGGUUGGGUAGCUUUGAAUAUGGUCUUGACAUUUGAUUUUAUUAAGGAAUUAUUGUUAGUUAAUUGGGUGUGGUAAUGACAUUGUGUUACUUAAGAACAUUUAAAAAUGUUCUGGGAGUUCCCUGGCGGUCCAGUGGUCAGGACUCUGGGCUUUUACUGCUGUGGCCUGGGUACAGUCCCUGGUCAGGGAACUAAGAUCCCACAAGCUGUGCAGUGAGGCCAAAAAAAAAAAAAAGUUCUUAGGAGAUGCCCGCCCGCUGUGUUUAUUAGGGGUGAAGUGUCAUGAUGUCUGCAACUUGCUUUUAAAUGUACAGCCAAAAAAAAAACACAAACAAAACAAAACCAAAAGGCAUAUGUGUACAUAAUUCAGAUAUGGUAAGGAAUAUGGUUAUUCAUGUAUACUUUUCAAAUUUUCAUAAUAAAGAGUUGGGGGAGAUAAAAUCAUUAGGUGAGUUUAGAGAUUGCUUCUAGUUUUGAGGUUCUGAGCAUCUGUUGCACCCUAAGCAGUUCUUAUUUUUAUAAAUGUUUAUUCUAUAUUAAAGGGCUUCUAUGAGGCCAGGCAUUGAAUAUACAGUACUGAAUCAUGAUUUCUCUAGCAUAGUACCAGGGUCCUAAAAACAUUUUCUUAAGUACGUAACAGUUUGGGAGGGGUAGAGGGGAUAUAAUGUAGUUUAGGCACUUUUAUUAGUUUAAUCUUGCCCCAUUCUGUUUUGACUGUCUUUUGACUAAACCUAGGGUGCAGCCAGGGGUAGGAGUGUGUCUAUGUGUUUUAAUUGUAUUUGUUAUUUUAAAUAACAGAACCCUUGAGGUAAGAAUUUUACACAGGUGCAUAGUGUACAAAAUACAAAGCUGUUCUGGUUGAAACGGGGAUUGGAGGGUCAGGAUUUAUUAAAAUAAAUGUGUCCAAAAUAAGUUUUUUACUUUUCCCUUUGAAAAUUAAGUGAAGUUUGCAACAGGAUGAAUUUCACCUGGGAAAUAAAGAAGAUAUCACUAGGGUACUAGAUCAUUAGCUUAGGGACAGAUAUUAGGCAUCUACUUUUUAUGACUGCUGGUGCUAAUUACUAUUUGCAUCUCACUGAUUCUUCAAGGACAUAGCAUUUGUUGAGCAUCUGCAUGGCAGUGUUCUAUUUUAUUUAUUUUCUCUUUUAAUCCUCAAAA
Molecule: RNA transcript, 3694 nt
Organism: Orcinus orca (killer whale)
Lineage: Eukaryota; Metazoa; Chordata; Mammalia; Artiodactyla; Delphinidae
Gene: NDUFV2
Gene name: NADH:ubiquinone oxidoreductase core subunit V2
Exons: 8
Source: RefSeq, a predicted model, not a curated record